This 73-nucleotide transfer RNA is filed under the name Felis catus (domestic cat). It matches the Rfam family "tRNA". From Rfam's summary of the family: Transfer RNA (tRNA) molecules are approximately 80 nucleotides in length. Their secondary structure includes four short double-helical elements and three loops (D, anti-codon, and T loops). The record is from Rfam by way of RNAcentral. Lineage: Eukaryota; Metazoa; Chordata; Mammalia; Carnivora; Felidae.
ACCUGGCUGGCUCAGUCGGUAGAGCACGUGACUCUUGGUCUCGGGUUUGUAAGUUCGAGCCCCACACUGGGUG